This 90-nucleotide transfer-messenger RNA is filed under the name Thermus scotoductus. Its description in RNAcentral is "partial transfer-messenger RNA". It matches the Rfam family "transfer-messenger RNA", at positions 283 to 374 of the family's 374-position model. Rfam says of the family: Bacterial tmRNA, also known as 10Sa RNA or SsrA, is named for its dual tRNA and mRNA-like properties. Its role is to liberate the mRNA from a stalled ribosome. To accomplish this part of the tmRNA is used as a reading frame that ends in a translation stop signal. Lineage: Bacteria; Thermotogati; Deinococcota; Deinococci; Thermales; Thermaceae. The record is from RNAcentral.
GCCAGGAGGACACCCAAAACGCGGACUACGCGCGUAGAGGCCUGCCGUAGGGACUUUCGGACGGGGGUUCGACUCCCCCCACCUCCACCA